CACUCCAGUUGACUGUGACGUCACUGCUACGCAGCUGCCUGUGACCAGCUGAUCCACUGUUUUGCACAGCUCGAAGCAGGGAACCGAGACGAACAUCAAGCACUGCCAGUUAGCCCGAGCAAUAAAUCAGCUUCACAAGCGCUAUUAACAUCACUACAUACUGAUGCUGCAGCUGCAUAGAAAAGUAGAAAUAAACACGGUAGAGCGCACAGUGCGUAUGUGACUAGGAUGAUGACUUUUGCCCGUUGACCAGUGCUGUCGUUGGAUGGACACGGCAUCCAUCGUCACUGCGAACUGACUGCGUUUACUAUGUGCUGAGCCACAAUUCUGCGCCGGCUACUGCCGUGAACGGUGAUUCGGUUACACUGUCGCCACUACUGCUGGGGCAAGCUUCUUACACCCUCGGAUAGCAACUGUCAACGACAAGGCUCUGACGCCUCUCUGCCUGCCAACAAGCUCCCAGUGGAGAGCAGAUCGCACACCGAAAGCCAAUAAUAGGGACAGAAAGACAGACACCCCCGAGUCGAAAGCUGUCUUGGGUUCAGAGGUCGGCUGACCAGAGUCAGUGCAACGCGCCUCAACUGGAAAAUUCGGUGCUGUAUAAUAAUAGUUGUUAUCACUACUAUCCUUGUAACAAUGAUAGUCUGCUAUUAAUGCCAGCACAAAGGGUUGUUGUCAAAUAUUCGAUUUGUCAAAUCCUUAUCGCCAUCUGGUUCGAGCGAGGUCUGAGUAACUGAAAGGCGGAAUCGACCGCCGUCAGCGACUCCCCAGUAAGACAGCUUGGCAACAAAAAUAUCUGCCUACACCUAAGGACGAAGCAUAAAUACGGGAGAACUUCUAGGUGCUGAUUCCGAGUUGAUUGAUUCAGUUGUUUUGCAGAGCUUCUCGCGCUCGAAACAAGCUUAAAGGAACGUUGGGAUCACCGAACAGUGAUCAUUAGAGCUUUAAGAGGAACACGAAAAUACUUCAAAAAGAACGAAAUAGAAGAGAAAGCAAGACGUUCAUCUUCGUGUCGUUACUGCCAUAGCAGAAAAAAGAAUACUAAUAGAUAGUGUGGUAUAAAUUAACUGUGUAUCUCUGCGUAUGUGCAUGUUUGAGGUUUUUGUGACGUGCGAGUGCCAGCUGGUGUCACCAACAAACGACUAGCCGUAUCCGCUGACCAACUGAAAGGGCAAAUAAACGACGUGUUUAGUGAAUCAAAAUUGUCGUGAGGUCAUUCGUUCACCAGCUAUUUGACUAAACGCUAAAGGGCAUAGCACAUCGAGGGCCAGCUAGUGACUGGCUGUCGGCGUCUUGUGCCCGGGUAAACCACAGCUGCACUGUGCAGGUGGUGGCUUUGCCCCUUCACGAUCGAUCAGGGGACGACGAAACUGCCAGCGAGCUCCGGUCGAACGAGCCAGAAUGUUGGAACUAGCGGUUGUACCAGAAAAAUCACUAAGCAACGAAGACAUCCAGUUAGUUCUUGGUAUGUCCCUGAACCAGGUAAUACAAUCGUUGCAACGCCAAUUUGAGGUAAUUCAUAACAUCGAGCUCGGCUAUUCGGACAAGCAUCCACUAGCAGGAGAUAUCACCCUUGAUUUACGCGAGGAUGGUAUUCGGCUCUUGUUCGAACCAACCACGCAACGGUUAAAGCUGAUAGAGGUAACUGAUUUGUCCCGCGUGGUACUUUCGUACAGCGGUACCGUGUUCUGUUCGAGGGAGGUUCUUCCCACGCGAGAGCAAAUCGACGAAACUUUCGGAGCAACGCAUCCUGGAGAGUUUGAUGCGGAUGCUUCGCUAUUCCAUUUAAAGUUUCGAGGAUUAUGCUUUUCGUUCGCUACUCAAAAAUCAGAUAAGGCUGACAGACUCAGCCCCAAAGGAUGUAAGACCAAUGCAGGAAUCACCAUUAAAAGUUCUCCCUGCGCUCUCGACGGAAAGGGUCCCUUCAGUAACGUUGUGUCACGGAUGGCCAUUUAUAGCGGCACCUCGCACAAGGACACUCAGCCUCCAGCCCUGCCCUUGAACUCAUUCGGUACGUCAAUAUUCCUUGAGCAACUGAACGUCAUUCGGGACACGGGAGAACCUGAUGGAGGACGUACGCGCGGAGUGGAGCUGGACAUUGUCUUGCGAGCUUCAGUAGAUCGCACAAAUAUGCCCACCAAAAAGACGCUCAAAAGGACAAUCCUUUUCGGAGACAGUGUGAGUGACGUCGUGUCAGCCGUUGGAAGUCCAUCGAAAGUUUUCUUCAAGGAGGAGGACAAGAUGCGAAUUCACUCGCCCAGCACUGACGAUUCCGUAGACAUAACUAGCGUCGAGAGGUCCGACUAUUUUUACAACUAUGUCACUUUGGGCCUGGACGUUUUAUUUGAUGCCCGACGACAUACUGCAAAGAAGAUUAUAUUGCACACAAAUUUUCCAGGCCACUACGACUUUAACUGCUAUCAUCGAUGCAAUUUCACCAUGGUGCUCCCGUCCAUACAGGGAGAGCCGGACGUCGUGGUCAACACAUUUUCUAGGUGGGAUGACAUUUCGGAGCGCCUAGUGACAAGGGAGGAAAAACCGGUGCUCCUCAACCGUGGCGGGUCCACACCCAAUACCAUUAAUCCGUUUGGUUCGACACAUUGUUACGGAUGUUGUGUCGACACCAUUGUCGAGGUCAUCACGGACAACAAUCAUAUCGCAUCAGUGACCCUUUUUGACUCUACGCUACCAUCGUAGUACCACCCAGUUCCGUCGCCGCGAAAUUAAUCUUCUGUCAGCAAGGAAUCCCUAUUAACAAGAGCUGCUGAACGGAGCCCAUAAGGUUUAAUCUUCACGUAUCUCGGCCGUAUCAAGGGGGAUUGGCAAGGCUAUAUGUUUGUAUCGCUGAAGAGAUUCGACAAUCGUAUGAGAGUUUUCGACCCUCACAGCAAGCAAUGAGAUGUUAAAAUAGAUGGAUAGGCUUCGCAUUUUGCAAGUAACUCGCUAGCUGCCAGCUGCUCUCACCGAGGUCAACCUGUUGUGUACAACCUGGUCCCUGUUAACUUUGACGGAAUUGAUUGCGCACACGGCAGGAACUCAUAUAAGACCUCAUACAUGACCGAUUUGCGGUAACAGAUUGAAGAUUGCUGCUCUUAUAUCUUAGCGAUACAAUCGGCGUACAUACGAGAGAAUGUGUUUGCGAGAAAAAAUUGAAUUACUUUUAAAUCGUCGAUGAAAGGCAUGAAAAUUGGACAGGGUUAAAAUCUGCGAAUAAAAAUAAUUAGUAGUUGGAACGUAAAUGCCGCUAGUGAUCUGAUUAGUGUUGUUUGCAACAGAGCGUACAUAGUUUUUUGCUCAGAACUCUGCCGAUGUAGAGUCGCCACUUGAAACUUGGUUUGACACACCGUUAUGUUUAUUACGUUUAAUAAUCAGAGCUUCUCGGAAAAUUGUGAAUUAGUGCGGCAUGCUCAAUCUGUCUCGAGGAUCAGUUUGGCAUUUUAGAGUGGCAGUAGAUCUCUUUGUAGGGAAUCUUCAAAUCAUAUGGUCAUACGCAAAAAGAAUAGGAAAAGAAAAGGACCCAAACUAAUAAAAAAAGAUACCCUUGAUUAUCGUUAUUGAUAGCACUAUAGUUCAUUAAUGAGAAUCCGUCACCUUCAUCUAUGCAUCUGCUUAUGGAUAAUAUUUUUUUUUUUUUGUAAAUCAAUCAAAUUAAAGGUUGGCGUAAGCAACUAAUAGUUAUAGGUAUUGAACUGAAAGGAAUUUCAGCGAAUUCGAAGCAGAGGAGCGAGCCCUGCCAGGUUUAUUUGAAUGUUAGCAAAAACGAAAAGUGAGGGCAAAAAGGGGUCUCCAGAGCUUUCAGCUCGUGUUAAAACUACCCGUAUGUGUGAUUAUCAAAUUGGUAGUCCUGUCCUUUUACUCGAUCCCCAGUAUAAUGUUAGCAACCAGCUUGGAGAGCUACGCAAAUCUGAACAGAAGUACGGUGAAUCUGGUAACGGCUAAUAAUAAAAAGAGAGAUCAAAUACGAAGAGAAAAUCAUGUUGAGCCCCCCAUAACCGUCAUCAUUGAUGUAAAUGAGCUGAAAGGAAAGUAAUUAAACAACACCCCCUUCCCCUCCUAGGUACGUCCUCAAAUGGUGGCGUCAUCAAGAACAGUGUGGAUACGAAUAAGGCAGUACGUAAAACAGCUGAGUGGUUCAAAUGCUCUUUAACGACGCAAACGAACUACUAGGCCUGAGUGAAGGAGGCAGAGAAGGGUCUGCUGUGCAUUUAGGUGACGACGAUAAUUAUAAUUAUAGUUAUUAAAUUAAUAUUAUCGACCUUGAGGCCGUCGAACUUGUUUUGUAUGACAAAUACCGCAGCUGCUUGAAUGAUACAAUGUUGAUAUAGAUGACAACAUGGCGGUAAGACGAGAUGGAUGCGAAAUAGAAAUGGAAACUAAAACAACAAUGUAAAAAUAGAGAUUGUACGAAACAUCAGACGAUGGCGUAAAUGUGUGAAAAUGGCCAAGUGUCGGAGCGAAAGGUUAGUCUGAAUUUAAGCUCGGAUGGGAGCAAGCAUUUGAGUAUGAGUUACAUUUGAUUGAGUAUGCCUAAAGGUUAAUUGCGCCUAUGGAGUAAGGUUAACACCAAAACGUACUAGGAAAACAAUGGCGUUCGUGAAUUGUCUGCUGCAGAGAUAACGUUAUGAUGAUAUGUGGGAAAGAAAAAAAUGUGAAAAUAGCCGUUUUAUUAUAAAUACAAAAAUAAUUAUAGCAAAAAUUACUAUCGUCAUGAUAAGUGCUGUGUGUUUGGCCAUCUGUAUCAAAUCUUAUGUGAACUAUCUCCACGCUUUAUAAUGAUUGUAUAUUAUAUUUCCAAUGAAAAGGAUGAAGAAAAAAAGACAAAAACACAAUAAAUUAUAUAUUGCACAUCCUGUUGUUGCUAAUACUAACUUUACACACACACACACACACACACGCACACACACACACACAUAUAAUUAAGAAUAUGUCAAUAAAGAAUUUUCUUAUUAAUUAUCAUUUUUAAGUUAGCCUAAAUAUUCAUAAGGGAAAUAUGCAUGCCUGAAUGUUCGACAUGCAGGCAUCUUUUUGCCGUUAAAAACCAAACAUCGAGAUAAAAUAGCUACAGCAGCAAAAACAAAAAUAUAAAAAACCGAAGUGGGAAAACUUAAGAAAUAAAUUCAACUUUGGAAUCAUCAAUGGAUACGGAAAUUGAUUUAGGCUGGAGAUGUGGUCAAAUUUAUGGUGUAUACAUAAGUUUAUUAAGUUUGUAUCAGGGUAUAUACGCUUAGAUUUGUGUUACUGAACACCUACAUGGAUAGACAACCUCUACGCAACUCAAUAAUGCAAAAAUGACAGACCAAGAAACAGUUUUUUAAACAAAAAGCAAGUUUUUUUUGUUUGUCGUUGUCACAGCUUAGUUUCUUACAUGAAAAAUGCCAGCAAAUUUUAGCAUUAGAAAUAUGAUGAUAGUGCUAACGCUUGAAAUCGGUUUCGUUGAGCGAUAUUAGUAUUGUAUCUGGAUAAGAAUUAUAUGGACAAAGAAAUUUCUAAUUAGUGAAUGGUCUUAAGGGGUUACUCGUUUUUUAUCGAUAGUGCAGUAGAGUUUUUCCUCAAAAGGCAAAAACUUUGUUUCUUAGAAUGGAUAUAUCCGUGUGCUUAUAUCGGUUAAGCAGCGUAACCUAACGGUUAUUUAAUCUGAAUUUUUCAUAGAAACCGCAAACUUUCCAACGAUUUGUAAAAAAAAUAAAAAAAUUGUUUAGUGUAAGUACAAUCUGACCUAACGUAAUUUUGCUGGUGCGACAUAUCUUAAUAAGAUUUCCACUAUGGCAUCGACGAGAAACUAUAGCUAGAUAUUGUUUCGGGAACUUUCAAUGUCGAAGUAGAUAUCAAAUAGUUCAGUGAUCGUAAAGGGCAAAACUAGUGAGAGUUCGCCUGAGUUCGAAAAUCACCAAUUGUCUGAGUAAUCUCAGCGUUCGGUAUAGUUAUGAGUUAUAAAUUUGCGUCACUAGCCAGCGUCGAUAACCGAUCUGAGUUAAAAGAAGAGAAGACAGAGCCCGCUAAUACUCGUUGCUGAUAACGAAGGAUCUUUACCGUUUUCAUUCAUCGUAUACAUCAUACGUCCACUGGACUGGGGUGGCACACAGAAAAAAUCCUCUGGUAGGAGCCCGGGCUCCAUCUUUCAUGGGGAAAUGUUUCACGUGCACUAUUUUUGGUAGCUAUAAAUUGACGGGGUAGAACUGAACAGAGAACAGCUGUAAGACAACCAAAAAAACUUUCUGUCAGGAGACUGGCCAAUAAGCAAAUGCGAAACCCGAAUUAUUAGCUGUUCUACAUUGGCCGCCCUUUAAAAUUCAUAUGUUUUAUUGCGAUUAUUGUAACAUAUGCAAUUUGUAUUACUUUCCUUAUGUGGAAUACGCGGCUUAGUUCUCAAGCAGGAGAACAUUAUAGACCUCCAUCGGGAGCUUUUGUAAAAAGUCAGUUACUUUCGAACCGGAUCAAACGCACACAUAUGAGCCAAACGAUAAUUAUAGACUUCUUAAAAGUUCACGGAAAUGAUAGAGGACAUAAUCUGGCGUAGAGAUCGAUUAUUACUGAGAUGUUCAAGAAACGUAUUGAUAUUGCAAUAUCUGUGAAUCUUUGGUCUCUCGCAUACCCCGUAAAAAGUGCCUCUGUAGUCUGCGCGGUCUACGUAUGUCCGUAUGAAGUAGGCAACACGCAGAAUUGGCUAGCGAUCUGUGAGUGAUAUGACAACAUUUCAUUGUUACGCGUAACGUAAUAUCAGACUUAAACGCCAAAGGAACUAAACGACAUCUGUGGAGUAUGUGAACAAGACGUUAAAAGUAAAAAUUGAGACGCUGUUGAGAUUCUACUAAAUUUAUUAAGAACCUAAUGGUAGCCAUUCCUGGCUAAAGACUAGCUGUUCUAACAGCCUACAUUUGGGUUAUUCUAUUUAUUAAUUUGUUAACGAUUAUUUAGUGUACAAUUUUUUUUUACUAGUGAAAAAUUCUUCCACUUUCUGUACUGUAAAAAUAUUUCCAACGUAGCACUUUAGUCAUACAUAGCACAAUACUUCUUGUGACAUUGAUUGUUGGGCAAGGAUGUGUUUAUGUAAAUGUUUUCGAAAUUAUGCAGCAGUUGAAACGGUAGCUGAAUCCAUUUAGCCUUUUCUUGCGAUGCAAAUGUGUAAAUACGUCUAUAAGAGUCUUACAUACUUAGCUAGACCUUAGAAGCUUGAACGCGGAGAUGUACGACAGUUCAUGGCAAUAAUAUAGACGUCAUGAAAAGAAACGCAAUAGACGAAGCAAUGAACGUCGUGACACUGUAAUAAUAUUAAUAGUGUGUAGUAUCUAUUCCCGUGAAAUUUAGAGAUUCGUUUAGUAUAGGAUAGGCGUAGCACUUCAGAUUUAUCUGAAGGAAGUAGAAGAACGUUUAGCGGACCCGCCCUAAUUCAAGUAUAGUGACCCUUUACAAUGGCCGCGUUGCCAGCUUUUGUUACGGACUACGAAACGGGGCAGCCAAACAUGGACCUUUGUCCACAAUGAAUACAGACAGCAGUGUAUAUAUAUAUUGAUGUGCGUAUGUGCGCCAACGGUCGCGCGUGCUCAUAUAAAAUUUACCAUCAUCAAAUAACCAUUAUGUUGCGGAUUGAAAGGCAGAAACUCACUGAGGAGAACAACGCCCUAAACAACAACGAAGGCCUAUUCUCCACUGAAAAAUACAGAUCCGUCAGAUGCGGCCAGAAAAUAUCCGCUAGCGAUUAUGACAAUUGAUGAGUUUACAAGUAAGAGAUGUAAACUGAGAAAAAUUGUAAUUAAGAAAAUCGAUCGAACGGCCCCCAGUCACGACAAUACACCCCACUUAGCCAUUUGACCAAUGGGUCACUACUACCAUAAACAACCGCACUGUCAAGCUGAUAAAAAGGAAACACACUAAUAGACGUAUGUACUGUUGUUGUAAAUGCUACCGCUUUUUAGGACGCUGUCGAAAUACUGGUCACUGUACCCGAUAGUGAUACGGGAGGCUGAGAGAUGCGUUAUACGAAAUACGUUAACAACAUCACCUUUAAAUAUAAACUAAUGUCUGUUUAACAGUUUCUUCCGUAAUCGGACGGAUGUUCGGAGAGUGACGCAACACUUACUAGAAUCUCGAUUGAAGAACCUUAGAAACGCGCUUCGGCUCAAUGUCCAUGUAUUGUAUAAACAAUAUAUAUCUACACAUACGCGUAGUCAUGUUAUCUAUUUUAAUACUAUCCCUCGUUCGCGAAACCAAUAGUUGUGACGUAAAAGCCGCAGAAUCGGAUUCUAGCUAUUAUACCCCAUUGGAAAUUUCUAAAUCAACAGGAUUUCAAUGGCGAACGUUCAGAUCCCUGGAUCGAUUGUUGACAGAUGCGUAACGUUUGUAUAAUACGGAGAGUCAUCUUAUUAUUGCCAGUUCGGCUGGGAAAGUUAUUAAAAAACGCGAUGAGUUACUAAUUGAGCGAGAUAUUACCUUGUUUGGAAAGGUUGCAUUAUUCUCUGAGCGUCAUCCAGCCUACAUAGAGCUAUAUUAUGGUACUCAUCUACGGCACUCUUGCAAAAUGCGAAGCGAAGCAAUAGCUUCUCUUUCUAUUCUCCGAUACUCUGAUAUGAUUCAAGCUGAUUUAAUCCUGAUCUGGCCCGGCUCUAAUACGUAAUAGAAGUAGACUAUUCGUAGCUCGUAAUCGUGAAGGGCUUAGGGGCUGCCCGAAGGGUCGUCUUCAAGAAACCACUAUUCAUCUUUUAAGCGACCACACCUUCCGCCUUUUUGUAAGAACUGUUUGACAGUGAAUAUACAACCAUUUAAAUUUGUCUGUCUAAGUACCUGCUUUCUCGUGCCGACUUAAUCCAAUAAAGCAUCGAUAGAAAGAAGUUUUAUAAGUUAAAAAAGUGUUAUAUAACCCGCUAAUCAUCCAAAGUGAACCCGACUGGAUAGUGCUUUAUAACUGGACGGCGUCAAUACAAAAUAUAAGCACGAAAAAAAAACUGAUACUGAACAAAAUAACACAGAAUGAAUUAAUCGCAGAUGCCCGCCAGCGAAUGGUUCAUUUAUCAUGCAAAAAAAAAUAAGCAAUAGAAUACCUGUGUCAUACUACACGAGAGUAAAUACAUUUAUAUGAAUACAGACUCAGAUAAAUUAUAUCAUUAAGAAUAAUAUGAACUCAUUAUCUUGCAAUUUUAUUGUUAUUACUAUUAACGAUAAGCUGAUAAUGUGAUCGAAUUGUAACAUAGGGAUAUACACGAAAAUUAAAUCGAAGGACUAAUGGAGAACGGACAGAUAAAAACAAUUAUAAUAUGAAAUAGAAAAAUAAAAAACGACAUUCUCAAAUUAAUAAAAAAUGGCUAACCAAGAAACACUGUUGAAACAUUGUUCUUCUAAAAUCCACGCUCGAAGGAAUAUUUUGCGUUCGCAGUGGUACAACGGGAAGUUGUUUACCUACUAGAAUUGAAUGCAUAUGAGGCAGUCUAAAUUUGAAAUUUCGCGCCGGAGGGUGCGGGCAGCUAUCAAAUGUAGAGUUUACGGCGGUAACGAACGUAGAGUUUGUUACUGGUUCUCUCAGACUGUAGGCCAGAGUGCGGUUAGUUACCAACAGGCUAACGUGGAUCUUUAAUUAUGUUUUCGGCCCUUUGCCCUUGGAAGUGUUGUGGAAAACAACUAACAAAGCAAAGUUUGGUUAACUUAUCGCUGGCAGUUAUCGCUUAGAAUUGUAUGACGUUCCAGAGACUUUUAACAACGUACAGUUCAGCUCGACUAUAAGCAUCAGAUGAAGACCACAGAGCUUUGAAACUAUCGUGUCAAUCUAUUACCGCUUAUAAGCGCAGAACCUACGCACUUGUGGCCAGACAUCGUGGAUGGACUAGUCCUAAGGCAUACUGGUGCCUUUUCUGCUCUUUCUAAGUCGUUUCCCAGCCUGGGAAUCAAGUGCAUCAACGUAGAGAAGUUGGUUACAAAAUGACCAGAGUAUGAAGAUGGAGACCAAGG
Molecule: non-coding RNA, 9936 nt
Organism: Varroa destructor (honeybee mite)
Lineage: Eukaryota; Metazoa; Arthropoda; Arachnida; Mesostigmata; Varroidae
Source: RefSeq, a predicted model, not a curated record